GGUUUGAUUAUGGCUCAGAUUGAACACUGGCGGGAUGCUUUACACAUGCAAGUCGAACGGCAGCACGGACUUCGGUCUGGUGGCGAGUGGCAGACGGGUGAGUAAUGUAACGGAACGUGCCUAGUAGCGGGGGAUAACUACGCGAAAGCGUAAUAAUACCACAUACGCCCUUCGGGGGAAAGCGAGACCUUCGGGCCUCGCACUAUUAGAGCGGCCGAUAUCGGAUUAGCUAGUUGGUGGGGUAACGGCUCGCAAGGCGACGAUCCGUAGCUGGUUUGAGAGGACGACCAGCCACACUGGGACUGAGACACGGCCCAGACUCCUGCAGGGAGGCAGCAGUGGGGAAUUUUGGACAAUGGGGGAAACCCUGAUCCAGCCAUCCCGCGUGUGCGAUGAAGGCCUUCGGGUUGUAAAGCGCGUUGGCAGGAAAGAAACGGCACGGGAUAAUACCCCGUGCAACUGACGGUACCUGCAGAAUAAGCACCGGCUAACUACGUGCCAGCAGCCGCGGUAAUACGUAGGGUGCAAGCGUUAAUCGGAAUUACUGGGCGUAAAGCGUGCGCAGGCGGUUCGGAAAGAAAGAUGUGAAAUCCCAGAGCUUAACUUUGGAACUGCAUUUUAACUACCGAGCUAGAGUGUGUCAGAGGGAGGUGGAAUUCCGCGUGUAGCAGUGAAAUGCGUAGAUAUGCGGAGGAACACCGAUGGCGAAGGCAACCUCCUGGGAUAACACUGACGCUCAUGCACGAAAGCCAGGGAGCAAACAGUUAGAUACCCUGGUAGUCCACGCCCUAAACGAUGUCAACUAGCUGUUGGGGCCUUCGGGCCUUGGUAGCGCAGCUAACGCGUGAAGUUGACCGCCUGGGAAGUACGGUCGCAAGAUUAAAACUCAAAGAAAUGACGGGGACCCGCACAAGCGGUGGAUGAUGUGGAUUAAUUCGAUGCAACGCGAAAAACCUUACCUACCCUUGACAUGUCUGGAAUCCCGAAGAGAUUUGGGAGUGCUCGCAAGAGAACCGGAACACAGGUGCUGCAUAAUGUCGUCAGCUCGUGUCGUGAAUGUUGGGUUAAGUCCCGCAACGAGCGCAACCCUUGUCAUUAGUUGCUACGAAAGGGCACUCUAAUGAGACUGCCGGUGACAAACCGGAGGAAGGUGGGGAUGACGUCAAGUCCUCGCGGCCCUUAUGGGUAGGGCUUCACACGUCAUACAAUGGUCGGGACAGAGGGUCGCCAACCCGCGAGGGGGAGCCAAUCCCAGAAACCCGAUCGUAGUCCGGAUCGCAGUCUGCAACUCGACUGCGUGAAGUCGGAGGAAUCGCUAGUAAUCGCGGAUCAGCAUGUCGCGGUGAAUACGUUCCCGAGGGUCUUAAACCGCCGUCCUGGGUGCACCAAGUAGUUAGCCUAACCAUAAGGAGGGCGAUUACCACAGUAGGAUUCAUGACUGGGGUGAAGUCGUAACAAGGUAA
Molecule: ribosomal RNA, 1463 nt
Filed under: uncultured Bordetella sp.
Lineage: Bacteria; Pseudomonadati; Pseudomonadota; Betaproteobacteria; Burkholderiales; Alcaligenaceae
Description: partial 16S-23S ribosomal RNA intergenic spacer
Rfam family: Bacterial small subunit ribosomal RNA
Source: RNAcentral